This 506-nucleotide ribosomal RNA is filed under the name uncultured eukaryote. Its description in RNAcentral is "bacterial SSU rRNA". It matches the Rfam family "Eukaryotic small subunit ribosomal RNA", at positions 24 to 549 of the family's 1831-position model. The record is from RNAcentral.
CAAUCAUAUGCUUGUCUCAAAGAUUAAGCCAUGCAUGUCUAAGUAUAAGUUUUUAUACAACGAAACUGCGGAAAGCUCAUUAUAUCAGUUUUAAUCUAUUUGUUCAUUUUCUAUUGGAUAACUGUAGGAAUUCUAGAGCUAAUACAUGUAUCAAAUCCGGCUAAAUUAAACUUAAAAGGACGUCUUUAUCUACUUGAAACCAAUUUGAAGUGAAUUCAGUAAACAAACAAAUCGCAAUCACAAGAUUGUGAUAAUACAAACGAGUUUCUGCCCUAUCAACUGAACCGUAGUUUAGGGGACUACGGUGGUGAUAACGGGUACGGGGAAUUAGGGUUCGAUUCCGGAGAGGGAGCCUGAGAAACGGCUACCACUUCCAAGGAAGGCAGCAGGCGCGCAAAUUAUCCAAUCCCAAUUCGGGGAGAUAGUGACAAUAAAUAUUGAUGUAAAAUCUACGAGAUUUUACGAUUGGAAUGAGAACACUGUAAACAAUUUAUCGAGGAACAAUU